Vitis riparia (riverbank grape) is the source of this 1143-nucleotide long non-coding RNA. RefSeq lists it as uncharacterized. The transcript is spliced from 3 exons. NCBI's taxonomy places the organism in Eukaryota, Viridiplantae, Streptophyta, Magnoliopsida, Vitales, Vitaceae. The record is from RefSeq and is a predicted model, not a curated record.
CUUCAAUCUCCCAUCGCUAUGAAGGCUAUCCUUGUAUGCUCUCUCUUGAUUUCAGUCCUUCUCUCUCCCUCUUGCGUACUUAGUGCUCGAGAGUUGGUUCAAAAUGAAAUGAUGAGUACUGAUCAUAAGGUGGGCAUUAGAGCAGGCUCUAACUGUGGAUCUGGAAAAGCUUACAGAAACUGUUGGGACGUCAUUUGUAUUUUUUGGCCCUGGUGCCUAGGCUGAAGAGCCAAUGCGGCGCCCAGGGUGGCCUCCCCAGGAUUCGAACCUGUGACCUUAAGGUCCUUGCUGUUGCCCUCCUGGUACCAAGAUGAGUGGAGUGAGAAAGUUGGGCGCAUGAGAUGGCAGUGAACCCAUGUGAAUGAGAAAAGUUGGUUUCGGAUCAAAAGAUAUGCAGGAGAGGUACCAUAUGUUUUGUGAUAAUUGAGAUAGUGGGGUAGCGGGGACUCAUCCUUGCUUCCCCUUUUUGUGGGACACUUUGCCCUUCACACUUCACACAUAUGAAUGCCGUUAUAAAUAAGGGUAGUGGGGGAGAGUUUAUCACACCCUACUCCAAUCUCCCAUCACCAUGAGGGCUUUCCUUGUAUGCUCGCUCUCUCUUCAUUUCAGUCCUUCUCUUGGCUUCUUGUGUUAGUGCUCGAGAGUUGGUUCAAAAUGAAAUGAUGAGUACUGAUCAUAAGGUGGGCAUUACAGCCCGCGAGAGCUGUGGAAUUUAUCGUCGAAAUUGCGGACCCAAGCCAAAGAAGUGUUCUGGGAAGAAUAAAGAAUGUGCGCCACCAGGCCCUUGAAAAUGAGAAGAUAAUGCUUAGUAUCAAGGAGCUGGCCGCUAUGGACCAACAACAAACAUAUAUAGAUAGAUGGAUAGAUGGUAUGAAGAGGAGUCGCCAGGGGUUGAAGAAUAAUAUUACUUGGCGCAUGUACUGAGAUGUAUGGGUUGAUUUGGAGUUUGUGGUUUCGAGUGUUGGACUAUAUGCAUUAGGAGUUUGCUUAGUUAAUAAUAGAGCUGAUUUAGGUCGGUCUCCAUGGGUGCGUAUGUUGUGUUUCUUCUUUUGUUCUUUUCUCUUUGUUUUAUUUUGAUUCUUCUACUCCAUCAUUCUAGCAUCAUUUUCAACAUUUCAUAUUUACCAUAGAUCUUGAUUUUCA